UUGACCUCGGAUCAGGUAGGGAUACCCGCUGAACUUAAGCAUAUCAAUAAGCGGAGGAAAAGAAACCAACCGGGAUUGCCCUAGUAACGGCGAGUGAAGCGGCAAGAGCUCAAAUUUGAAAGCUGGCCCCCUCGGGGUCCGCAUUGUAAUUUGCAGAGGAUGCUUCGGGAACGGCCCCCAUCUAAGUGCCCUGGAACGGGCCGUCAUAGAGGGUGAGAAUCCCGUCUGGGAUGGGGUGGCCGCGCCCGUGUGAAGCUCCUUCGACGAGUCGAGUUGUUUGGGAAUGCAGCUCUAAUUGGGUGGUAAAUUUCAUCUAAAGCUAAAUAUUGGCCGGAGACCGAUAGCGCACAAGUAGAGUGAUCGAAAGAUGAAAAGCACUUUGAAAAGAGAGUUAAACAGCACGUGAAAUUGUUGAAAGGGAAGCGCUUGCGACCAGACUCGCCCGCGGGGUUCAGCCGGCACUCGUGCCGGUGUACUUCCCCGCGGGCGGGCCAGCGUCGGUUUGGGCGGCCGGUCAAAGGCCUCUGGAAGGUAACGCCUCUCGGGGCGUCUUAUAGCCAGGGGUGCCAUGCGGCCUGCCCGGACCGAGGAACGCGCUUCGGCUCGGACGC
Molecule: ribosomal RNA, 611 nt
Filed under: Penicillium citrinum
Lineage: Eukaryota; Fungi; Ascomycota; Eurotiomycetes; Eurotiales; Aspergillaceae
Description: eukaryotic LSU rRNA
Rfam family: Eukaryotic large subunit ribosomal RNA
Source: RNAcentral